This is a long non-coding RNA of Eurytemora carolleeae, 966 nucleotides long. RefSeq lists it as uncharacterized. The record is from RefSeq and is a predicted model, not a curated record. Lineage: Eukaryota; Metazoa; Arthropoda; Copepoda; Calanoida; Temoridae. The transcript has 5 exons.
CUCAAUGGGGAAUUCUUGUUCGCCCCUGUGACGAGAGAGUAUUCUGUAAAGAUGUUUCUGGAAGGAAUUGAAUACGAGGAGAAACUUGUUUUAUUUUAUAUGUUUUGAUUGUACUGCGCAAGCGCAGUUUGUGUAUUGGACGGAUUUAUAGUAAAACGUUUAUGUUAGUAUAUAGUUGGAAUCCGUAAAGUGUGCUAAUAUUUCGUGCUGAAAACCCUGCGAAUGACUGUGACUGAAGCUGCUAAUCCGAAAUAAAGUUCAAACCCUAUCCUGUGUAUUUAUUCAACAUGAGGAGGAUUGAGCAACGGAGUGCUUACGGUUCGGUUCAAAGGAGUUCAACUCGGCAUAUCUGGAAAUCUAACUUAGGAAACAAAGCUGCUUGAAGACAUUGGUCUUUCUACCAUAUCCUGUGGUUUGGCCUGUUUUACAACUAGUUUCUUCAUUAUUACUUGUUUUACUCAGUGUUAUUCUGCAUCAUAUACAGGGUGAACUUUUAUUUAGUUUUUAUUGUUUAUUCAUUUGAUACUGUGAGCCAGCCUAGCUUGAAACCUAGGAAACCACAUUGUGAAAUGGAAGAAAAGGUUUCCAUUAUAAAGUGUAGUCCGGGAAACCCUAGUUUGUUAACAUCUAAACAUGAAACCUGGCUAAACUUACAGGAUCAAGAAACCCGUGCUUGUACUGCAACAUUCUUCUACUAUCUUCUUGAACCUAAUACAACAUUUGCGAUUUCCGUAGUGGAAUCUAUGGGGGGGGGGGGCAUAGCUUGGAUAUUUAGCUCUAGCUAUUAAACUUAAUGCAAUAAUCGGUCUUAGCGUGAUAAUAGUUUCUAACAAACUCCAAGUACCUUCUUUGUGAGUUGAUAAGCAUACGUAAAACACUUGGUAAAUUACGAUUUUGUAUAAAGUCUGAAAAAUGUUUUUCUAAUUCAAUUUUUCUUUUAAAUAUGUAUAUUUUUCUUCUACUUUU